CAGGCACCUCUCUCUUCCCUUCUGCUGGAAACCCUUCCUGUGAGCUGAACUCCUGGCUUCCCAAGGAGCCCGAGGAGAGAGGCCUUUUGCCAGCACCGUCCACAGUAAUGGGGGGAACAGAGCUGUAGCCCCCAACGGGUCAGAAACGGAGCAGAGUGAGCGGCUUCCGGGUGAUGGGUCCUGGGACUGGCCGCGCUCCCUGCAGUGGGCUGGCUUAAUGCAGGCCCUCCACUCCACCUGGUGGUUCUGGGAAACUGGGACGUUGGGGUUUCGAAUAAUCCUAUGUGCUUUUGCUGCAGAGAGUUUCCUAGAAUCUAAGAAUGUCCAUGUUGGAAGCGAACUCACUGUGGAGUCCUGUUCCAUCCUCCGCUUUCUAACAACCCACCAGGUGACUUUGCCUGUGGUUACAUUCCACCAGUGACAGGGACCUCAUUGUGUCCCAAAGCAUCUAUUGCAUGUUUGGAUGACUCUGAGUACAGAACUCUCCUCUAAUAUUGAGUCAAAACCUGCCUUUGUUUAUCUUCAAGUUUCUGUCUUGAGGUCACUUGUUACAGAGAUGAUUCCUUGUCCACUCAAGGGCCCUUCAAGAUGGAUUUAGGGCAGAGCAGAGAGAAACAUCAGUGCCUGGCUUAGCUGUUCUUUGCUCUUCCUAAAAGCCCCGAUUCCACCCAUCCCCCAUAGUUUCCUGGGUCACAUGCCAGCCUUUACUGUCUCUGAUUCAUCUCACCUGGUACUGUCCCAAUGGCUGGAGAUGUUGGAUAUCACAUUUCCUGGGGGUGGUGAGCACCAACCUACCCCACCCCCAAUCUCCUGGGAAAGGAGUGUCUCAGGAGUUGGGCACACUCACCCUGCUGGGCACUUUCUUGAUCAAUAGACUUCCCCAGUGCUGUUGGUGGCAGUGUUCUGGUCCACAUGGUUACCGACCACACAAGUGAUGCAGAUGUUGGGCUGGCUCAGGGGCAGCCUCACAGCUGGGGCUCAGGUGCAGGGGCUGGUUUUCAUGUCCUUGGCUUUUCUCUUACAUUUAUAAAUGAGCCAAGCAGCUCUGUGGGCAUCAGGCUCCAAUUUAGGGUGAGGACAGGGAGCUGGCUUUUACGCUGGGGAACCCCUAAAUGUCAGAAUGGGGUGGGCUUUCCUGAGGCUCCUGUGCCCACACAAGCUGCCCGAGUUCUCUCCAGACAGCGUAUUCAGAGUUUCUUGGCUUUGGUUUUGGUUUUGUAAGAGCUCUCCUUUGUUGAUGUCUGAGAAUGAAAUGCCUGGCUCCAUGACGGUCCACACCUGGAGCUGGACAGAGGGUUGGAGGUUGACUAUUCCAUGCACAGACCUCCUAGUAUUCUCCGUGUUUCAGCCCCAUUCUCACCCCACCCUCCAUCCUACCUGGGCCUGUGAGUUCAAAACCCCUGUGGGUUCCUCUGGGCGUACAUCUCCAUCCCCUUCUGUGCCCCUCUGUUUGUAUCCCAGGUCAGUGGUUCUCAAACGUGGCUGCACAUUGGGCUCAAAGGGGCCAUUGAAAAAAUACUGUUUCUGGGCACUAGCCCAGAGAUGCUGACGUCAUUGGUCUGGGGUCUGGCUCUGCCCUGCUAGGCUGCCCUCUUCCUUCUCGCUCUGAAACUCCAGGCAUCUCAGGUCUGCCGAUUAGUUAUUCCUGUCUCUCGUUGAUGCUGUGAUUUAUACGCAAUCAAAAUAGAUUUAGUAUGGUUUUAACGUUCUGCGGAAGGGGAGGAAACACAUGCGUCUACCUUGUUCAUGAACAUCUUGAACAAGAAGUGCAAACCUAAUUUCCAUGACCGUGUCCAACUUAUUCUCCAGCCCCUCCUUCUCUGUGCUCUGUAACUUAGCAGAUGCAAACCAACCAGCAAACUCCAAAAGCAUUCCCUUUCACCCGUCCACAUGCUGCUCCUUCCCGCAUCUGUAACGUCACUUGUGCUGCUCCCCUGGUGAUUUCCAAGCUCAGAGAUAAGCUGUGGCUGGUUUUGGAUCAGCUCUCAGGGGUGCCAGGGCUCCUGGUUAGACUCUGCUCCCUCCUGACCUCCCCUCUGGUGUGAGAUGGCUCCAACAGUUUCCAGCACCACAUUCUCACACAGCCACAUUCAGAGGCGGGAGCCAGGGGCAGCGUGGAGCGGGAGCUUCUCCUCAGCCUCCUUCCUCUUGUCAGGGUGGAAGUCAUUCUCAGGAGCCCCCAAUAAACUUUUCUUACAUAUAAUUGGCCAGAACAGGGUCACAUGCCCACCGUGAGGUCAGGGGAAUCCCCCCACCCCACCCCUGAUACCCGGUCUCUCACUUGACAGCUGAACCAAGCAGGGUUCUGUUGGUGAGAAGAGGGGUGGCUUGAGGGAGGAAGCGGAUGAUGUUGGUCAUGGUAGUUUUUCCUCUCCAUUCCUUCUCUCUUCUUGGAGGACACUAGUUAUCCAUACGUUUGAUCUCCAUUGUCAGUCCAUAUUGCUCUUCUUCGCUCUAAUUGCUUCCCUCUUAUUUUUUAUAUUAUUUUCUUAUCCUGUCUUCCACAUCAUUGAUAUGGUUCCCUGUACUGUUGAUUCUAGUCUCUGCAUUUUUAAAUCUGCAAAAAGAAUUACUUUUCCCUUUGAUUGUUUUCUUUGCCCCUCCCCCAAUCAUAUUCUGAUAUCUUAGUUCAUCUUUCAUCUCUGGUUCCGUCAGUCUUUUGAAAACUGUUCUUCCUUUCCUUUAUUUUGGAGGAUGAAUUAUUUGUGUAGGUCUUAUUUUUUGCUUUUCCGCUUUUUCAUCUUUGACUGCGGUCUUCUACUUAUUUUGCUCUUUGCCUCUGCAAACGUGUGUUUGGAUUCCUUUUGACUUUGUUUUCUAUCAGGACACUGAACUCCCAGCACAAGAGUCAGAGAACUAGACAUAAUGGCUGUAUUCUUUGUUUGGUCACAGUGGCCUGGGCAGUGUAGGAAGAGAGCAGGAACUUUGGGCAACAAGAGUUUGAGAACCCCGUCUGCUCCAUCUGCUCCAGUUCUGUGAAAACCACAUGGAGACCGUCUCCGCUGAGUGGAGUAUUCCUGUUCCUCGAGGAAUGCCCUCUGGGAUUCCAGUCCUUUUCUCCUCCUCCUGUCAGCGUGGGCCAGCCAUGUGGCGUGACAUCCUUGUGGCUCCUGGGCCUCCCCCAACCCCGCCCCUCUUGCUCUUUUGUCUGCUGUCUUUCCUGUCUGGGUCCAUUGCUUCUAGAAUGGUGUUUCCCAAACUUGUGUGCAGGGUAGCCUCAGGGGCCUGCAAGUGCUCCGUUAGAAUGUUUAUAUUUCAUGCUUUCAUUUUGAUGAUAACCUGAACAUUAACAUGUGCAUGUUCUGGAUCCUGCAGUGACCACAUUAUAACAGGCAUUUUUGGGGCUCUGCUUGCUUUCGUGUUAAAGCAUCUUCAUAGGCGGAGCAGAUGACGACACAGAUGGUGGUCCUGAUGGGGACUGUCCAGUGCGUGGUUCACGUAGAGGAGACAGUUGGGAGGAUCGGUCAUCAGGGAGCUGAGUAGAGAAAAAUCAAACAUUGUUUCAGGUGCUUUUAGGAGGAAACAGUGGAAUCCUGUCAAUGAAAAAGACAGAAAUCUUCAAAAGCUGUUAAACCAGACUAUCCAGUACGAAUUGCUUUAAGCUUUAUACAUAGUUAAAAGAAAGAAGGUUCUGGUAAAUGGAUAGAUUUGACCACUUUGAUGGCUUGAUCAUUCACUGAAUUGGCCUCUAAUUGGCCCACAGCUCUUCUCAAACAGGCACGUCAAGCUCCAAAGUUCCUGCUCUGUAGCGGUCAGUGGCGUAUCUGCCCUGCACGCAGAGGUGUGAGAUUCCGUCUUUGUAGUAACAACUUUCCAAAGUUCAUUCGCGGUAAUGCAGUAAAUACCCGCUAUGGUAGCAAACAUCCAAAGAAGAAUUUUU
Long non-coding RNA from Equus caballus (horse), 3880 nucleotides. Lineage: Eukaryota; Metazoa; Chordata; Mammalia; Perissodactyla; Equidae. The record is from Ensembl.